Molecule: long non-coding RNA, 309 nt
Filed under: Gossypium raimondii (Peruvian cotton)
Lineage: Eukaryota; Viridiplantae; Streptophyta; Magnoliopsida; Malvales; Malvaceae
Description: long non-coding RNA (GRAI_LNC009006)
Source: RNAcentral
GUGGGAUCGAUAUCCGACAGACUUAUAUCUAUCUAUUAUACUUGCAUCAAUAGUUUACACUUGCACAUUAUUGUUGUAACAUUAAAUAGCCGAUCAAGUUUUGGCGUUGUUGUUGGGGAUGGCAUUUUUUUGAUAUUUAAUUUUGUUUUUGCACUUUAUUUUUUUAUAUAAUAUUUAGUUGCCACUAAAUUUUUUCUUUUUGUCACCAUUUUCACAUUUUAUUUUAGGUGUUUGAUGACCCGAAUCAAUUUGGAGUUUAUAAGAACUGUUCAGGGGAGACUUCCAGAACAAAGGAAUAUGGCUUUACCA